RNAcentral lists this ribosomal RNA (179 nucleotides) under uncultured soil bacterium. RNAcentral describes it as "partial 16S ribosomal RNA". It matches the Rfam family "Bacterial small subunit ribosomal RNA", at positions 26 to 216 of the family's 1533-position model. The record is from RNAcentral.
AGCCUGAACGCUGGCGGCGUGGCUAAGACAUGCAAGUCGUACGGUGUAGCAAUACACAGUGGCGAACGGGUGAGUAAUGAAUCGCUAACGUGCCCCGGACUCUGGGAUAGCUGAGGGAAACUUCAGGUAAUACCAGAUGAUAUAUCCCUUCCGCAUGGUUGGGAUCUCAAAGGUCCGCC